CCCCUAGAUGUUCUGGGCCGCACGCGCGCUACACUGAACAGUUCAACAAGUCUUAACCUUGGCCGAUAGGUCUGGGUAAUCUUUGAACGCUGUUCGUGAUUGGGAUAGACCUUUGCAAUUAUUAAUCUUCAACGAGGAAUUCCUAGUAAGCGCGAGUCAUCAGCUCGCGUUGAUUACGUCCCUGCCCUUUGUACACACCGCCCGUCGCUCCUACCGAUUGAAUGGUCCGGUGAAGCGUUCGGACCGUGGCCUUUGGACGGUUCGCCGUCUGUUGGCUGCGGGAAGUUCGUUAAACCUUAUCAUUUAGAGGAAGGAGAAGUCGUAACA
This 327-nucleotide ribosomal RNA is filed under the name uncultured eukaryote. Its description in RNAcentral is "partial 18S ribosomal RNA". It matches the Rfam family "Eukaryotic small subunit ribosomal RNA", at positions 1470 to 1796 of the family's 1831-position model. The record is from RNAcentral.